This 500-nucleotide ribosomal RNA is filed under the name uncultured bacterium. RNAcentral's name for it is "partial 16S ribosomal RNA". It matches the Rfam family "Bacterial small subunit ribosomal RNA", at positions 28 to 507 of the family's 1533-position model. The record is from RNAcentral.
GACGAACGCUGGCGGCGUGCCUAAUACAUGCAAGUCGUGCGGACCUUGUUGAAAGCUUGCUCUUAAAAGUUUAGCGGCGGACGGGUGAUAAACACGUGGGCAACCAGCCUUUAAGAUUGGGAUAACUCCGGGAAACCGGGGCUAAUACCAGAUCGUUUUUUCCUCCGCAUGGUGGAAAAAGGAAAGGCGGCUUCGUCUGCCACUUACAGAUGGCCCCGCGGCGUAUUAGCUAGUUGGCGGGGGAAUGGCCCAACAAAGCAACGAUGCGUCGGCCAACCGAGAGGGUGAACGGCCAAAUUGGGACUGGGACACGGCCCAAAACCCCACGGGAGGGAGCAGUAGGGAAUCUUCCGGCAAGGGCGGAAGGCUUGCGGAGCAACGCCGGGUGGGUGGAGGAAGCCUUCGGGUCGUAAAACUCUGUUGACGGGGAAGGACAAGAGGCGUACGAAAAGGGCGGCGCCUUGACGGUACCCAGCCAGAAAGCCACGGCUAACUACGUG